RNAcentral lists this ribosomal RNA (1146 nucleotides) under uncultured crenarchaeote. Its description in RNAcentral is "bacterial SSU rRNA". It matches the Rfam family "Archaeal small subunit ribosomal RNA", at positions 137 to 1263 of the family's 1478-position model. Lineage: Archaea; Thermoproteati; Thermoproteota. The record is from RNAcentral.
AAACUGAGGCUAAUCCCUGAUAGAUGAGGGACCCUGGAACGCUCCCUCAUCUAAAGGAUCCCAAGACCAUGCUCUUGGGAUCGCCUGAGGAUGGGGCCGUGGCCUAUCAGGUUGACGGUGAGGUAACGGCUCACCGUGCCUAUAACGGGUACGGGCCGUGAGAGCGGGAGCCCGGAGAUGGGCACUGAGACAAGGGCCCAGGCCCUACGGGGCGCAGCAGGCGCGAAACCUCCGCAAUGCGCUAACGCGCGACGGGGUCACCCCGAGUGCCAGCCGCUGAGGCUGGCUUUUCCCCAGUGUAAAAAGCUGGGGGAAUAAGCGGGGGGCAAGUUCUGGUGUCAGCCGCCGCGGUAAUACCAGCUCCGCGAGUGGUCGGGGCGUUUAUUGGGCCUAAAGCGUCCGUAGCCGGCCCAGUAAGUUCCUCCUUAAAUCCCAUGGCUCAACCAUGGGGCUGGGAGGAAUACUACUGGGCUANGGGGCGGGAGAGGCCGAGGGUAUUCCCGGGGUAGGGGCGAAAUCCUAUAAUCCCGGGAAGACCACCAAUGGCGGAGGCACUCGGCCAGAACGCGCCCGACGGUGAGGGACGAAAGCCAGGGGAGCAAAAGGGAUUAGAGACCCCUGUAGUCCUGGCUGUAAACGAUGCGGGCUAGGUGUUGGCUGAGCUUCGGGCUCAGCCAGUGCCGCAGGGAAGCCGUUAAGCCCGCCGCCUGGGGAGUACGGCCGCAAGUCUGAAACUUAAAGGAAUUGGCGGGGGAGCACCACAAGGGGUGAAGCCUGCGGUUCAAUUGGAGUCAACGCCGGGAACCUCACCAGGGGAGACAGCAGGAUGAAGGUCAAGCUAAAGACUUUACCCGACGAGCUGAGAGGAGGUGCAUGGCCGUCGCCAGCUCGUGCCGUGAGGUGUCCUGUUAAGCCAGGCAACGAGCGAGACCCUCGCCGCUAGUUGCUGUCCUCUCCCGCAAGGGAGAGGAAGGUAGUUAGCGGGACUGCCGCCGUUCAAGGCGGAGGAAGGAGAGGGCUACGGCAGGUCAGUAUGCCCCGAAACCCCUGGGCCACACGCGGGCUGCAAUGGUAGGGACAGAGGGUGUCCAACUCCGAAAGGAGGAGGUAAACCCUAAACCCUACCCCAGUUGUGAUUGAGGGUUG